Molecule: unclassified non-coding RNA, 437 nt
Filed under: Hevea brasiliensis (rubber tree)
Lineage: Eukaryota; Viridiplantae; Streptophyta; Magnoliopsida; Malpighiales; Euphorbiaceae
Source: RNAcentral
CAGCCAUAUCAUGCAACAUUUAGCAUAUGAUAGAUGUAGUUUGAAAUAAUUUCUCAAAAGGGGUUCCAAAAUCAAUAAAGAUGGUGUUCAAAUAUCUAAAAUAAUUUGAAAUUAGACAAGUGAAGGCAAUUUUACAACCAUGACAAGAAACAGAGCAUGACGCACACUCAUUUUGUACAAUGCAGUGAAGAGUUGCACUAUAAUUUUCCUUUUACAGCCAUCUGGCUUCUUUAUAACUGAAUGGUUAGUUAGCUAACUUGUCACAAAAGAGAUCUCUAAAUCAGACACCGAGUUAUGGCAGUUUAGUUGUGAUGUUCCUUUACUUAGCUUGUUGGAUUGGAACUCGUCUUCAGCAGAACAAGAUUUACGACCUAGGAAUUGAAGAAUUGCAUCAUCUUUAUUUACAAGUAAAUUGGCUCAUUCAUGUUGAAUUUUGG